RNAcentral lists this microRNA (23 nucleotides) under Pristionchus pacificus. RNAcentral describes it as "ppc-miR-8364h-3p". Lineage: Eukaryota; Metazoa; Nematoda; Chromadorea; Rhabditida; Neodiplogasteridae. The record is from miRBase by way of RNAcentral.
AGAGAGUGUGCAAAAUGAAGAGA